This is an RNA transcript of Myotis brandtii (Brandt's bat), 2456 nucleotides long. It is a transcript of the gene named CDK5 regulatory subunit associated protein 1, with no coding region annotated. The transcript is spliced from 15 exons. The record is from RefSeq and is a predicted model, not a curated record. Lineage: Eukaryota; Metazoa; Chordata; Mammalia; Chiroptera; Vespertilionidae.
GGAACGGAAGUCGCGCGUGCGCCGGCAGCUGUUUGGGUCAGGCCGGGAGCUUUCGCUGCGCGCUGGGCGCUCCAGUUGCGGGAGACUUUGAGCUGUUUUAGCGCCAUGCAUCAUUUACAGUGUAUCCUCCAAGCACAGAGGUGUCUGGGGUGGGGGCCCUUGGCCUCUGUGUCCUGGCUGCUGCUCCGGACCUGCAGGGCACACAGCAGUUUCUCCGGCACCGCAUGUCCCAGUCCAGAGGGGCAGCAGGAGGAUGGAGUUGGGAAGGAUUUCAGCUCCAGGCUGGCUACUGGACCAACUUUUCAGCAUUUUUUAAGAAGUGCUUCAGUUCCUCAAGAGAAGCUGGCUUCUUCAGAUGUGGUGGACCCACCCCCAUAUCUCACAGUGGAUGAACUUUUAGGAAGGCAGAGAAAAGUCUACCUUGAGACCUAUGGCUGCCAGAUGAAUGUGAAUGACACAGAGAUAGCCUGGUCCAUCUUACAGAAGAGUGGCUACCUGCGGACCAGUAAUCUCCAAGAGGCUGAUGUGAUCCUCCUUGUCACCUGCUCUAUCAGGGAGAAGGCUGAACAAACCAUCUGGAAUCGUCUACAUCAGCUUAAAGCCCUGAAGACAAAACGGCUCCGUUCCCGAGUGCCUCUGAAGAUUGGGAUUCUAGGUUGCAUGGCUGAGAGACUGAAGGAGGAGAUCCUCAAUAGGGAGAAAAUGGUGGAUAUUUUGGCUGGUCCAGAUGCCUAUCGGGACCUUCCUCGGCUGCUGACUGUUGCUGAGUCAGGCCAGCAAGCUGCCAAUGUGCUGCUUUCUCUGGAUGAGACCUAUGCUGAUGUCAUGCCAGUCCAGACGAGCCCCAGUGCUACUUCUGCUUUUGUGUCUAUCAUGAGAGGCUGUGACAACAUGUGCAGCUACUGCAUUGUUCCUUUCACGCGAGGCCGGGAGAGGAGUCGGCCUGUUGCCUCCAUUCUAGAGGAAGUGAGAAAGCUUUCCGAGCAGGGGCUGAAAGAAGUGACACUACUUGGUCAGAAUGUUAAUAGUUAUCGGGACAAUUCAGAGGUCCAGUUCAACAAUGCAGUGUCCACCAACCUCAGCCGUGGCUUCUCCACCAACUAUAAAACCAAGCAAGGGGGCCUUCGUUUUGCUCACCUUCUGGAUCAGGUCUCCAGAAUAGAUCCUGAAAUGAGGAUUCGUUUUACCUCUCCCCACCCCAAGGAUUUUCCUGAUGAGGUUCUGCAGCUGAUUCAUGAGAGAGACAACAUCUGUAAACAGAUCCACCUACCAGCCCAGAGUGGAAGUAGCCGUGUAUUGGAAGCCAUGCGAAGGGGGUAUUCAAGAGAAGCUUAUGUGGAGUUAAUUCAUCAUAUCAGGGAGUCUAUUCCAGGUGUGAGCCUCAGCAGUGAUUUCAUUGCUGGCUUUUGUGGUGAGACAGAGGAAGAUCACCUCCAGACAGUGUCUUUGCUUCGGGAAGUUCAGUACAACAUGGGCUUCCUCUUUGCCUACAGCAUGAGACAGAAGACACGGGCAUAUCACAGGCUGAAGGAUGAUGUCCUGGAAGAGGUAAAAUUAAGGCGUUUGGAGGAACUUAUCACUGUCUUCCGAGAAGAAGCAACGAAAGCCAACAAGACCUCUGUGGGUUGUACCCAGCUGGUGCUGGUGGAGGGGCUCAGUAAACGCUCUGCCACUGAGCUGUGCGGCCGGAAUGAUGGAAACCUUAAGGUGAUAUUCCCUGAUGUAGAGAUGGAGGAUGCCACUGACUCUGGGCUCAGGGUCAGAGCUCAGCCUGGGGACUAUGUGCUGGUGAAGAUUACCUCCGCCAGCUCUCAGACACUUCGAGGACAUGUGCUCUGCAGGACCACUCUGAAGGACGCCUCAGCCUAUUGCUCACCUGAGUGAUGACUUCAGAGUUGAUGUGGGCCGUCCUUCCUACCAGGAAGGGAGAUAUGACUGGUCACUAAUGAAAGAAGUAAUGAAGCAUUGAAGACAAGCUGCAAGUGGUGAAGCAACUUUGUUAAAUGGAAAAAUGCAUCUCGUUGCUGCUAUAUGAACAGCCGUUAUAAUCAUUAAAUGUACCUAAACUAAAGUGGUCCCUCUGUCUCUCUACAUGAUUAUCAUUUCUUCAUUGGAAUUAGAGACUGAAGGAGAGGCCAAGGUGGAGAGAAUCAUUUGCUUGGGAAAACUGCUCUAGAUCUUUCUAACAUUUUGGUUUGAUGACAUUGACUCACCUGCUUAUCUCCUCAUUUUAUUCUCAUAUUUUACCUGAGGAUUUCCCUCUGGGCCUCGUUUUUAGCCGUCAAUUCAUUCCUUGCCUUCAGGGCUGACAGCACUUGGAGUUUUGGAAGACAUCAGUAUCUAUUAGUAGGUUUUGGACACUCAUUCUUGGCCCAUUCACUACUAAGGUUAUGCCAUUUUCUGAGUAGCAUGUAUUCUGAAGCUCUGUUAAUAGGAGAAUAAACAUUUAGAAUUUU